RNAcentral lists this ribosomal RNA (433 nucleotides) under uncultured bacterium. RNAcentral describes it as "partial 16S ribosomal RNA". It matches the Rfam family "Bacterial small subunit ribosomal RNA", at positions 29 to 507 of the family's 1533-position model. The record is from RNAcentral.
AACGAACGCUGGCGGCAUGCCUAACACAUGCAAGUCGAACGAGACCUUCGGGUCUAGUGGCGCACGGGUGCGUAACGCGUGGGAACCUGCCCUUAGGUUCGGAAUAACUCCCCGAAAGGGGUGCUAAUACCGGAUAAUGUCUUCGGACCAAAGAUUUAUCGCCUUUGGAUGGGCCCGCGUUGGAUUAGCUAGUUGGUAGGGUAAAAGCCUACCAAGGCGACGAUCCAUAGCUGGUCUGAGAGGAUGAUCAGACACACUGGGACUGAGACACGGCACAGACUACUACGGGAGGCAGCAGUGGGGAAUAUUGGACAAUGGGCGAAAGCCUGAUCCAGCAAUGCCGCGUGAGUGAUGAAGGCAUUAGGGUUGUAAAGCUCUUUUACCCGGGAUGAUAAUGACAGUACCGGGAGAAUAAGCUCCGGCUAACUACGUG